UUCAGAAGGCUCACCAAGGCUGCUGCAUUGUGUAUAUAUAUGGAGAAUAAACUGCAAUGGGUGGAAAUGAAGAGGCCAGGGCAGUCAUCCCAGGAGACAUACUGGGCAGGAUGGAGGAGAGCUAAGGGUGAUGAAGAAGACGGAGGAUCUGCAGGAGGUUCUCCAGGUGGGUUCUAACUACUGCACUUGGUAUACUGGCUUUGAGCUCAUAUUUCUAGGGGUGGGUGCCACUAGCUUUGUUUGCCACACUGCAUCCAGGCUGCCCUGCGGGGGGUGAGAGGUAAAGGGGUGAACCGGUGUAUCUAAUCCUAGCAGGACCCAGUAGCUUAAGCCCAUUCCUGUGCCCCCCCCCCCCAUGCUUUCAGUGGGGUCUUGUUGGAGAAGCCUGGUCAUUCUGGUGCAUUUCCUCUUGGAGCUGAAACAUGGUUUCUCUGGCCAUUUUGUAAGGAGUUGCCUAGCCACAUGUAUACCUCUUCAGUGCCCAUGUUUGCUGUAUAAAAAAGUAAAUUUGGAAACAUAUUUUAAAAUGGUCAGUUCCUCUGUUACAGUUUGAAUUGAGUCUCUUUAAAAUUUACAAUAUCUCAGAAGAUGAUCUUAUUUGAAAUAAUGUCUUUAUAAUAUAUUGAACUAGUUAAGAUGAGGUCAUAUGGAAGUAGGGUGUGUGCCUCCGGUAUGACUGAUGUCUUUGUAAAAGCAAAAUUUGGAGACAGAUUGUAUUAGUUUUUCAUUGCUCUAUCAAGAUAUCCAAGACAGGCUAAUUUUAUAAGUUUUUUAAUAUUUAUUUUUUAGUUUUAGGUGGACAUAAUAUCUUUAUUUUAUUUUUAUAUGGUGCUGAGGAUCAAACACAGUGCCUCACACAUGCUAGGUGAGCUCUCUACCACUGAGCCACAACCCCAGCCCUAAUUUUAUAAAUUAAAGAGCUUUAUUUAGCUCACAAUUUUGGAAGCUAAAAAUCCAAACAACAUAGUGUUGACUCUGGUGAGGGUUCCAUAGCAGAUAACAGGAGUACAGCAAGAGGAAGGAUCACAUCUCAAAACAGGAAACUAGAGAGAGAUUCAGAUCAGAUUCCAGCUUUCAUAACAACUUGCUCUCAUGAAAGCUCAGGGGUCCCAUGAGAGCAACCUUAAUCCCUUCCAAGAGCAAGGCCCCUAAUGACCUAAGGAGCUCCCACUAGGUCCCUCCCACCUCUGAAAGACCAUCUCCCUCCCACACACCACACUGGGGACCAUAUUUGCAACACAUGAAGCUUUGGGGUGACAACAUCCAACCAUAGCAUAGACACACACAGGGACAACACCACAUGAAGAUCAAGACAGAGAUUGAGGUAGGCCUGCACAAGCCAAGAAGCACCAAAGAUGGCCAGCAAAGCACCCGAAGCAAGGAGAGGGUGAAACAGUCAUCACAAGGAACCCACCCUGCAGGCACCUGAUCUCAGGCCUCCAGGCUCCCCAGACAUGAGAAAUGUGGUGGCUGCACCUGGGCACAGUUUCCAGGAGGCAUCUCCAAAUCCUACCACAGCUACGGCUAGGAAAAGGACUUAUCACCAAGACUCUGUGAUUCCUGGCUUUGUCCUAGUCUCCACAAGGGAAUAUGGUCCGCAGGUAAAUUUGGCUAGUCCCAGAAUAAACAGUCUCUUUUACUAGUUUUCAUUUUGUAGGAUUAUUAUUAAUUUUUUAAACUAACACACAUACAUAUGGUAAACGGAAACAGUAUAAAAGGAGAGUCAAUAUAGGUGAGUCUCUGCUCUUGCCCACUGCCUGGAAGAAGUCAAUCUCAAUCUUCCAGCCAUCCUUCCCUUCCAGCCAUUUCUUGCAUGAAUAAGUUUGUCUGAGUGAGCAAAUGAGACAUGCUUAUGUCUCUCAUUUAUUCUUUCAAUCUGUUGUGUCAUGGGGAAUAGUUCUGCAUUAGGGCAGAGGGGCUACUCAGGACUUUAGAGCCGCCACUCUGAGUGGUCCCAAGGCCAGCUACACAAACAUUUCAGGUAACUUAGUAGAAAUGAACAUCUCAUAGGCCUCUUUACAGAUUAACUGAGUUAGAAACUUGGGUCUGGGGCUCAUGAGCGAGAGAAUGUUCUAACAAACCGCCCACGCUCAGAUUUGGGGUGGAGAUGGUGCUAAGAUUAACUCUAAUUCUCACUCCAUUGUUCUGCAGCAUAAUUUAUUUUGGCUGAUUUAAAAAAGUAACAGGUUUUUAGAGGUUUAAAAUGAAAAUAAUGGAUCUUACAUUAUUCUUUGAAGUGUAACAGUUACACUUGUUGUUAAGUUCCACUUCAAAGGCUGGGUGCAUUUGAACUCUAUUAGAAAGUUAUUUUAGUUACAUAAGCCAAGGAAGGGAGAAAACAAAAAUGAAGAUACAAUCUUAACUCUAAGAAAAAUCACCUCAUUUUUACGAGUUUAUUACAAGACCAGAAGGUCAUGGUUCGUGGUUAAGUGUCUCAAGGUCAUUAAGCAGUUAAAUCUCAUCUGCAAACAAUUUACAGGAAAACAAGUGCAAUCCUCUAAAAUAGUUACAUAAGUGAAAUUUUUAAUAAUAAGCUUUUUUGGUUUCAAUGCUAGGGAUCAGCAGUCCUGAUAGACAGCUAUAAAAACAAACCUCAAUGAUUUCUCUGAUUUAAAGAUGCUGAUUCAUAGUAUGCUGCUAGGGGAUGGGGGAAUCGGGGGAUGGGAGGAUUAAAUGAACUCUAGAUAGGGCAAAGGGGAAAAGGGGAGGGAGUGGAAGGGAAGGGGAAUGGGGUUAAAGAGAUGGUGGAGUGAGAUGGACAUCAUUACCCUAAGUACAUGUAUGAAGACAUGAAUGGUGUGACUCUACUUUGUGUAGAACCAAAGAAAUGAAAAAUUGUGCUCUAUAUGUAUAAUUUGAAUUGUAAUGCAUUUUGUUGUCAUAGAUAACAAAUUAAAAAUUUAAAAAAUUAAACACUCCUAUCUUAAUAAAAACCUCUAUAUGAGGAGAACUUCUUACUCUUUUUAGUAAACUGAUGUUGAAAGAAACUUAAUGCACAAGAUACAAAUAAAUGUAGACUUUUUUUGAUGUUACAGUAAUCAGUUGGUAAAGUUUUUUGUGAGUGUGUCACAGAGAUUGAACGCAGGAGUGAUUUACCACUGAGUUAUAACCCCAGAACUUUUUUAUUACUUUAAUUUUAUUUUUAAAUUUUGAGACAGGAUCUCACAAAGUUGCUGAGGUUGGCCUUGAACUUGUGAUCCUCUUGCCUCAGCCUCCUGAGUCACUGGGAUUACAGGCAUGCACCACCAUGUCCAGCAUUGGUAUAUACUAACUUUUCCUUUUUUUUUUUUAAACAAUGGUUCAUGGGUCAAAUUUUUCAUAAUACGAUUGAAACUUGUGGGCCAUUUUAACUGAGCUUGGAUGGCAUGAUUUGGUGUAUUGUCUUUUACUUUACUGGCAUUUAGACAGCUUCUAGUUUUCUGUCUCACCAAGUCAUUGGUUCUAUGGCAUCUUUCUACCUGUGUCCAAUGAUCAUGGAGGUUAGGUUCCUCAAAGUGGAACUUCUAUGUCAAAGGUUCGGUGGACUUGACAUUUGAUAGAGUAUUAUCCAAUUAUUUUGUAAAGAGGUAGUUGCAAUUUACACAGGAUAUUAAAAUGUGAAUUUACACAUACUUGCUAAUAUCUUUUUUAAAUAUUUAAAGCUUUAAAAUAUUUUUCCAUGUGCAAGGCAAAAGAAGAGUGACUUCUUAUUGUCAUAAAUUCAUUUCUUUGUGGAGUCAUCUGGAUGUCUUUUUUUUAUUUAUGCUUCUUUCUCAAUUUUCUAUUGACUGCAGGUUUUCCAUAUUAAUUUGCAAGCACUCUUUACAUGAACAGCAAAUGAGUUUUUUGACAUCUGUGUUGCAAAUACCUGUAUUUUUUAAGUUGUUUUAUUUUUUCAUUCAAUUAUUUUUCAUGCAGAAAACUUUAAAUUUUUUAAAAUAUUUUUUAUUUAUUUCUUACAUACAUGACAAUAUUGGAAUGCAUUACACUCAUAAUUAGUCAUUCACAGCACAACUUUUCGUAACUCUGUAUAUAAAGUAUGUUCAUGCCAAAUUAUGCCAUUAUACAUGAACUCUCUCUCUCUUUUUUUUUUUUUUGCAUUACAAUUCUUAAUACAUCUUUAUAUCACAAUUUAUCAUAUCUCUGUUUGUAUAUAAGGUAUGUUGACACCAAAUUCACAUGUUCAUACAUGUAUUUUGUAUAAUGAUGACCGUCUCCUUCCACCAUCCUUACUAUUCCCUUUCUUCCUCCCUUUCCCUCCCACCCCUAUUCCCUAUCUAGAGGUAAUCUUCUUCCCAUGCUCUCCCUCCCUACCCCACUUUGAGUCAUUCUCCUCAUUUUAGAGAAAACAUUCAGCGUUUGUUUUUUGGGGGAUUGGCUAACUUCACUUAGCAUAAUCUUCUCUAAUGCCAUCCAUUUCCCUGCAAAUGCCAUGAUCUUAUUCUUUUUAGUGAUGAGUAAUAUUCCAUUGUAUAUAAAUGUCACAUUUUUAUUUUUUAGUUGUUGUUGGACACAUAGCUUUAUUUCAUUCAUUUAUUUUUUGUAUGUGGUGCUGAGGAUGGAACCCAGGGUCUUGCACAUGCAAGGCGAGCUCUCUACCACUGAGCCACAACUCCAGGCCCAGAAAACUUUAAUUUUUAUAUCAUCAAAUUGACCCAUCUUUAUUUUUGUGGCUUCUGGGUUUUAGGUCAUAUUUGUGGGAAAAAAAAAGAAAAAAAACUUUUUCCUUUCCCCAAGUAUAUCAGUCUGUUUUCUGUUUCUAUUAAAACAAUACCAAAGAAUGGAUGAAUUAUAACUAAAAGAGGUUUAUUUUGGCUCUUGGUUCUGGAGGCACAAAGUGGAGGGGCUUCUCUGGUAAUGGCCUUCCUGCUGGCAGAGCAUCACAUGGCAAGGGAUAGAGAAUGUGUGUGUGUGUGUGUGUGUGUGUUUUCUAGUCUGUCUCUCCUCUUAAAAAGGCCCCAGGCUUUAAUCAUGAGAGCUAUACUCUAAUGAUUUAUUUGAUCUUAAUUCCCAAAGGCCCCACCUCUAAACACCAUAGUUGAAUUAAGUUUCCAUCUUCUAAAUUCUUCAUAAUAGGGAUUAGAUUUCAAUAUGUGAAGGCUUGGGUGACACAAACCAUAUUCAAGCCAUAGCACCUAGGUACAGAAAAAUUCAUCCAUGUUUUCUCCUGGAAUUGGGAGGCCAUUGACUUUAGAGUUCAAUUGCCUAUGUUUAAAUCACACUUGCUGUAUGAUCUUGGCUAAGUAACUCAACCUCUCUGGACUCUGAUUCAUCAUUUGUACCUAUCACACAGGGAAAUUGUGAGGUAGUGUCUGAUACAGGGUCAAUGUGCAACUAGUAUUAUUUCUUUUUAUUUUUAGUUGAAUGCUUUUUAUAGCUUUACUUAUUGUUUUAAAUCUUUAUCCACUUAAAUAUUUAUUCAAUUUGCUUCAUGCAAGAAGGCAAGGAUCUAGCAAUUGUUUCUAAAUUAAACAUUAGAAAGGAGGAGCCAACAUUAUUAUUACUUAUAGAUAUCAUCACACUCCAAAGGAAGUAACUGAAAAAAAAAAAAAGAAGAAGAAGAAAUUGACUAUGUGACCUAUUAUAAGAAUUGGCAAAUUUUCUACAUACAAAAUGUAAACAGAAACUAAUGGAAAAAGUGUUUUCCCAUUGCCAUUUUGUUAAUUAAUCUCUUUUCUCGUUUAUUUGAAGUGCCAACUUUAUUAGAUAAUAAAUCCACAUCUGUUUUUGAGCCUGCUUAUUGACUUCAUAUUUUUUCCAUUGGCUUGACACUUUUUUAUGAACCACUGAACUGUUCAAUCAUCUUAGCUUUUUAAAAAAUAUAUAUUUUUUAUUUUUUUAGUUAUAUAUGGACACAAUAUAUUUAUUUUGUUUAUUUUUUUUAAUGUGGUUCUGAGAAUUGAACCCAGUGCCUCACCUGUGCAAGUCAAGUGUCUACCACUGAGCCACAACCCCAGCCCCAAUCAUCUUAGCUUUUAAAUUCAUUUUUAAUAUGAGGCAAAGCUAGUUUUUAGCAGUGUUCUUUUAUUUCAUAAUUUCUUAUCUGUUAUUACAUGAGUAUUUUCCCAUAUGAAUAUAAGGUUUUAGUGAAAUUAUAAAUUACUUGGGGAAGAAUUGAAACCUUUACAUUAUUUUUUUCUAAUCCGAGAAUUAGACAUUUCCCUGAUUCCAAUCUCUUUUUUAAAUCUCUCAGAAGAAGCUUUAAUUUUUUUUUCUUUAUUAAACAUCGACACAUUUCAUAUUAGUUUUUCGUGGCUGCUAUCUCCUAGUUCUUUUAGUUGUUGUUUUGUUUUAUUGUUUCCAUGAGUUUUCUGCCAAUUUUUUGUAUGUAGAAAAUUGAUCAAUUAUUGCAAUUCAGGUGCUUAAUUUUAAUUCAUUCUUUUAAAUUUUGGCAAUUUUUCAGUUGGUUCCUUUGGAAUAAAAUGAUAUCUAAAAAAUAAUAAUAAUAUUGCUAAUUCUACAAUUCUAAUUCUGCAUGUUGUUUCAACUGUAAAAUUUGGGGUUGGGUUGUUUUAAUUAAGUGAAUUAUUUCUCUGCAAAUGCUACAUGGAUAAAAUUAUGUGCAUGUUCAAUGAAACUUACAUUUUUUCUAGUUUCUUCAUUUUUUAAGUAUAAAUAUUACAUUUACAGGUAUUAUGUGUGAAUUAUUCUUUGUUAAUAAGACUUAACUUUUAAAAACCUUUUGUGUUCUUUCCUUACAAAAUUUGAAGUUUUUUAAAAUAUUUAUUUUUUAGUUGUAGUUGAAUGCAAUAUCCUUAAUUAAUUAAUUUAUUUUUAUGUGGUGCUGAGGAUCGAACCCAGGGCCUCCGUGUUAGGCGAGCACUCUACUGCUGAGUCACAGCCCCAGCCCCCAAAAUUUGAAUUAUAAGAGCAGAGAAAAGUGAAUUAGUUUUAUUGGGCUAUAUUUUUGAGCUUGUGUGUUUACAUAGACUGCAUUUAUUUAUGUCUUUCACAUACAUGGGAUAAUGUCAGGAAAUUGUUUUCACUAUUUUUAUCGAUAGGUUAACAAAAGCUAAAUGUAAUUAAAUGACUUGUCUAAAAUAAACAAUAAUGACAAUAAAAAAUAAUAAUGUUGCUUCCUCCUUUCCAGCGUGUAAGCCUUAUCUUUUCAUUUUGUCCAUUUGUUAUUUUCCAAAACCCUCCAGGACAAUGACAGCAUGUGGGGGUGCUGCAGGUGUUCCAGAUAGGCUUCUUGACUAUGCCUCUGGGGCUUGCCAUUUACCCUGGUGCUGGAUUUGCUAGAGCAAUUAUUUUAAAUUGUGAGCAUUCACUAGUGGAGUCCUUGGCAUCUGUCAUUCUUUGCUCUUGCCAAUAGCCCCAAAAAUCUUGCUUUGGAAAUGACCAUCCAUGUCUUCCUCUCAGCCCUGCACUUUUGUUAAGAGGGGCCCUGCCUGCACCUGUAUAGCAUGUCUUCCCUAGAUUUCUGAGUGUUCCUGUAAAGAGCUCUGCCCACCCCACCCCCCACCCAGAGGCACAGGAAUGUAUACAAACUUACAGAGAGCCUUUGUCUUCAUAUCUAGCAAUGUUUUACUUUUCGUGUACUUGUAAAGACUCAGGUUGUAGUCAUUUGUCUAGUUGGUUGCUCUGAGCCCAAGAGAUAAUAAAUCUUUUUCCCCAAGACUAGCACACGGUCACCUUCCAGACUAUUCCCCUAGUUUAAUUCCACGGUUGCCCCAAAGAUGGGAACACUCUCUCCACAGGCAUUUACCCUUCAAGGAAGAUGGGGCAGGGACCUUGGAGGCACCUCUAGUUUGUAAGGACCCACGAAAUGUGACCUGGUUCCUGCAGGAGUUUUAUCUACUUACCAAAAGGUUAGAGUCCUUUCCAUUCCAUCUCUAAUAACAAAGGCCUUUUCUCCCUCAUUUCAGAAAGGGAAAGGACAGCUACCUCUGUCCUGCAUAUAAGGAAGAGAAGAUCCAUUAUUCACUGUACUUGGCCCACAGAGUCUCGGCCACAUCGAAGGAUUUUCCAUUAGGCUUUCCUGGUGUGGCUCUAGGAUUAAAUAUCUGGGCAGAAGAGGGAGACAUAGUUGUUAUUUUGUGGAUGAUAAUAACUAAUCUGUCUCUGAUCCAAAAUACCCCCUAUGCUCAUUCAGGAUUAAAUUAAUCAAAAUAUAUAUUAAAAACCUCAUAGUACUUAAUUAGCAAAAACAUUACUAAUGACUCAUCUAAAAUGUGCACAGCCUUCUCAGGAGAUUCACUAUGAAGAUGCAGUAGAAAUUACCACCCUUAUCUUUCCAGACGUGCUAGUGGUAUUAAUCUUGGUAAUUCCCCAGAGAUGAAGUAUUGCUUCUGAUGUUCCACCUCGGCAGAGGGGUCAGUUACAGGAGAGUACUUUUGGCCCUUCAGCCAAAACAGCCCCUACUCCACAGAUCAGGGAAUCAAUGUGAACAUUCUAUUGAUUGCCAAAUAGAUCUAUUCCACCUGCUCAUCUUGAGAUGGAGGAAAUGACCACAGUUGGUGUCCCUGUUGGACCCAGUUUGAGAGAGAUCGGGGCAAGGACACUGUCCAUCACAGGCUUCUUGGGGCUUCCCUUCUGCCAGGCAGGCUGUGGUAGCAUUUCCCAUCCUUAGGAAUUUAGGUCAGUUAAGAGCAGGUAUAUAAUACUCCCAGGGUGGGGGUUGCAUCUUUCCCAUUCUCACAUCAUAGUUACACAGGUAAAUAGCCACAGUUUGCUCUGGAAAAGCUUGGAGAAAAUUCUUGAUACACUAUGGCUGCUUUGCAAAGUCUUUGUUUUAGGGCUCCUGGUCUGUGAUAGUGGUCAUGAAUCUCCCUAGGAUGAUUUGAUUUAGGUUUCUGCCCCAGAAUUUAUAUAUAUAUAUAUUUCUGCCUAGCUAUGUCAAGCAGCAUCUUAUCCUGAUCCAUUAGUUAUAACCACAAAUUGCUGCAGUUCCAUCAGUCCUUGUGUUUAUUGUCAAAAUUAUGGCCAUCUUGUCUAUAUUAGACAAGUAUACCACAGGUCCCACCACACCAGAACUGUGUUACUUUUCUUGAGACCAGGGAUGCUAAUUUCAUCACAGAGUUUUUCAAAGUGCUCUGUGCAGUUGAUCCAUUCCUGAUAUGUGUUUCAAAGCUUCUAUACAUGGUGGUUACACUGGGAUCACUGGGGGGGCGUGGCUGGGUGUGGGAAUCCAGUAGCUUUCAAUGAACAGAUGCAUUCCACUGUUCCUUUACUAUUUCCUCAAGCCUUUGCAGGAGCAGCAGGGUUUGGGGUGGGUGCUGGUGACUCACCCUGAAUAUAGGCUGCUGUGACAGGUGGAAUAGCUACUCAUGGAAUGAAGGUUGCUAACAGCUGACCCUAAGAUAAGGGGAUUGCACUGGGUCAGCUCGGAGGUGCUAAGAAAUCACAAGGCUCUUUACACAGAAAAAAAGAGAGAUAGAAGAGUCACAGCCCAGAAUGGGAGAGUUAUCAUCAAAAAGACUACAGGUGGAGCUGGGAAUGUGGCUCAAGCAGUAACGCGCUCGCCUGGCAUGCGUGGGGCACUGGGUUUGAUUCUCAGCAACACAUAAAAAUAAAAUAAAGAUGUUGUGUCCACCGAGAACUGAAAAAUAAAUAUUAAAAAAUUCUCUCUCUCUCUCUCUCUCUAAAAAAAAAAAAAAAAAGACUACAGGUGGAAGAAGGUCCUCAAGUCAAGAAAUGUGCACAGGGACAGCUUCCAGACACUGGAAGAGGCAAGAAAACAGAUAUAUUUCUAAGAUCUCCAGAGAGGAAUGCAGUCCUGCUCUCCCUUGAUUUGAUCUUAGCAAGAUUCACUUUUGGACUUCUGACCAGAACUAUGAACUAAUAAGCUCAUAUUGCUUUAAGCCUCUUAGUUUGUGGUAAUUUGUCAGAGCAAUAGGGAACUAAUACAUCUAUUGUUGACUCAGGUUUCAAAUUUAUGUCACUUGCAGGUUUGGGAGCAUAUAUAUCAGAGGAGUUUACCCUUGAAAAUGAAGUUAGCUGCACAGGACCUUUUAGUCCGUGGGAUGCUGACAAGUGUUUAAUGAUCAGCUCUCCAGGAAAAAAAAGCUCUGAUUUAUACCGAUUGCUUGCUGACUUCCAAUUUGCACAUACUCUCACCUUGGCUCUCUUCAAGCCAAAAACAUAUAUCUGAACUUGGUGUUGAGAAGCAACACAUAGUAGCCCAUCCUCAUGGAGUAUCUCCUGGGUACAGAGGUAGUUGACCUCCAAAGCAGAUAAUAGUAAAACACAGAGAAGACAACUAACAGUGAGUUUGGAGUAUUUAUUACCUGUAUUUUUUAAAAUAUUUUUUUAGGAAGAUG
This 10241-nucleotide long non-coding RNA is filed under the name Marmota monax (woodchuck). Lineage: Eukaryota; Metazoa; Chordata; Mammalia; Rodentia; Sciuridae. The record is from RNAcentral.